CGGUAAUUCCAUUUCCAAUAGCGUAUACUAAAGUUGUUGCAGUUAAAAAGCUCGUAGUUGGAUUUCUGCGGGGACGGAGCGGCCGGUCGCAACUUGCGACUCGAGCUAGCGCUUUCCCCGCAUCCUGCCGCGAACCGUGCUACCAUUAGUUUGGUGGCGCUGGGGAUCGGCUCGAUUACUUUGAGAAAAAUAGAGUGUUCAAAGCAGGCCACACGCCUUGAAUAAGUUAGCAUGGAAUAAUGACUAAGGACUUUGGUUCUUUUCGUUGGUGUUCGGGACUGAAGUAAUGAUUGAUAGGGACAGUUGGGGCGGUCCGUAUUCCAAAGCGAGAGGUGAAAUUCUUAGACCUUCGGAAGACGAACAGCUGCGAAAGCGUUCCGCAAGGAUGUUCCCUUUGAUCAAGAACGAAAGUUGGGGGAUCGAAGACGAUCAGAUACCGUCGUAGUCUCAACUAUAAACUAUACCAGCUAGGGAUCGGCCAACGUUUAAUUUAUCGACUUGGUCGGCACCUUAUGAGAAAUCAAAGCAUCUGGGUUCCGGGGGGAGUAUGGUCGCAAGGCUGAAACUUAAAGGAAUUGACGGAAGGGCACCACCAGCCGUGGAGCCUGUGGCUUAAUUUGACUCAACACGGGAAAACUUACCAGGUCCAGACAUAGGAAGGAUUGACAGAUUGAUAGCUCUUUCUUGAUUCUGUGGGUGGUGGUGCAUGGCCGUUUUUAGUCGGUGGAUGUGAUCUGUCUGCUUAAUUGCGUUAACGGACGAGACCCCAGCCUGCUAAAUAGCGCGGCCGAGCUUUGCUCGGUGCGAGCUUCUUAGAGGGACCAUGAUGCGCGAUAGCACAAGGAAGUUUGGGGCAACAACAGGUCUGUGAUGCCCUUAGAUGUUCUGGGCCGCACACGGGCUACACUGGCGCCUGCAACGAGCAUAUCAGCUGGCCCGAGAGGGUCUUGGCUAAUCUUUGGAACCGGCGCCGUGCUUGGGAUUGACCAUUGCAAUUGUUGGUCAUGCAACGAGGAAUGCCUUGUAAACGCGAGUCAUCAGCUCGCAUUGAAUACGUCCCUGCCCUUUGUACACACCGCCCGUCGCUCCUACCGAUGAAUGUUCCGAUGAAAUUUUCGGAGAGCACCAGAGAACGGGGCUCCGCCUUGCAGAUCUGGAGGCUCAAAGUCACUUAAAUCUGAACAUUUCGAGGAAGGAGAAGUCGUAACAAGGUAGCCG
This 1218-nucleotide ribosomal RNA is filed under the name uncultured Rhizaria. Its description in RNAcentral is "SSU rRNA". It matches the Rfam family "Eukaryotic small subunit ribosomal RNA", at positions 577 to 1805 of the family's 1831-position model. The record is from RNAcentral.